GCGGCAGCAGCAGCGGCGGUGCGGAGAGCUUGGACUGGGAGCCCAAAGCUCGGCUGGGCAGCGGGAGAGGAGGAGCCGCAAGAGCUGCAGCUCUGCCAGCUUGGGCCGAGCCUAGAGACACCGGCCGGGCUGGUCCACGCCAGCUGCAGACCGUGGCUGAGCAUGGAGCUGUCCCCCCGCAGUCCUCCGGAGAUGCUGGAGGAGUCGGAUUGCCCGUCACCCCUGGAGCUGAAGUCAGCCCCCAGCAAGAAGAUGUGGAUUAAGCUUCGGUCUCUGCUGCGCUACAUGGUGAAGCAGUUGGAGAAUGGGGAGAUAAACAUCGAGGAGCUGAAGAAAAACCUGGAGUACACAGCUUCUCUACUGGAAGCCGUCUACAUAGAUGAGACACGGCAAAUCUUGGACACGGAGGACGAGCUGCAGGAGCUGCGGUCAGAUGCCGUGCCUUCGGAGGUGCGGGACUGGCUGGCCUCCACCUUCACCCAGCAGGCCCGGGCCAAAGGCCGCCGAGCAGAGGAGAAGCCCAAGUUCCGAAGCAUUGUGCACGCUGUGCAGGCUGGGAUCUUCGUGGAACGGAUGUUCCGGAGAACAUACACCUCUGUGGGCCCCACUUACUCUACUGCGGUUCUCAACUGUCUCAAGAACCUGGAUCUCUGGUGCUUUGAUGUCUUUUCCUUGAACCGGGCAGCAGAUGACCAUGCCCUGAGGACCAUUGUUUUUGAGUUGCUGACUCGGCAUAACCUCAUCAGCCGCUUCAAGGUUGGGCAGCAUCCUACCUCUACCUCCAGGCAGUAUUCUCCACUCCUCUCAUGCCUGUUCUAAAAGCCUCCCAACAAACAGAUUCCAUAGAUCCCCUCACUCAGUCUCAACAUCAGGGAAGUCUCCCCAUGCCCACGCCCAGCCUAGCCUUUCUUUCACUUGUUGCCUAGGGGGAGAUUCUCGGUCUGCAACCAUCUAGCCUGGGAUUCUGCUCUCUCCCGCUUUGCUUUCUUCCCCCAACUUGUCCUCUCUAGGCUGACUUGCAGUGUGGACACUGGAGGCCUGGAGUUCAGAUGCUGUCAGCCAGUGCCCUUUGGGACUAGAAACCAUGUGUUUCCUGGAUAAAAUUGGCCACUCCCUCCCCCGUCCCCCAGUUCUGGUCUCUGUGUAAGGAAUUAUAUGGAGAAGGUCAGCUCUUGACAGGGCUGGGGUGGGCUUGUAUGACAGGGGGACGGUGUGUGAACUUCAUUUGCUCUUCAGCUUGUCUGGAUGGGAAGAAUUAUGUGAGAUUAAAGUCCUCCCUAGAUCCUGUACCAGGAGGGAGCAUCUUUUGGGAGGGAAAAAGUGCCAGGAAAAAAACAAAACACUUUCACAUGGACAAAUCACAUUUGGAAGUAGAGGGUGAGGAAGGUUGAAGAGCCAUAAUGGGGAUAUUGGGUCAGCACUUUGGGGAGCAGUAGAUGUUAAAGGUGAAGGGAAACAUGGAUGAUCUGAAGGGCCAUAGAGAGGGGCGGUCAAAGGAGUCCAGGUGGAGGGUCCCCUCCCAGGCCGGCUUUGGGAGGUCAUUCCAUCCAUCCUCUGCCUCCACUUCACUAGAACAAAUUAUCUGUGCAUGUGAGCCCUUCCUUCACCCUUGACUCCUCCUUUUACAACUCCCUAGGGAGUUUCCAAAACUUUCCUGAGAUGCUCAGUUGAAAUUUUCUUAAGUGCCUUCCAGAAGCCUGUUCUGCAAUUUUACUUUCUUCUUUCCAAUCCUGCCCUCUCCAGGACAGAGAAUAGUAGGGCUGUCUUUUUCCUAAGACUUUUCCCAGCUCAUGUUUCCCCAAACUGGCUCUCAGACUUCAGUCACUAGAUUCUCCUAAACUCUGCCUCCUUACCUGGAAGGACUGGGUUUGGGGGACCUCAAGAGUAGCUGUUUUGGGUUAGGUUUGGCCCAGUCCCAGUCUGCUUUGCUCCAAGGCAGUUAGAGGAAGGAGGGGGUGCUUCUUGUUUUAGUUUUCUCUGAUGGCAGGGCCAGUAGCAGCUGCCCUUCUCAAACUCCACAUUCUCUUUCCGGGCACCUAGCCCCUCCCCUACUCCUCCCUUUUUCUUCCCUUCCCUCCAGGGACGCCAUGGCAACGCAAAAGCAAGGGCAGUUGUCAUGGAAACAGUCCUUUAAAAUUUCCUGAAUUUGGGGCACAGCCCUCCAGGGGUGCGGGUGGAGGAUGUUAGGGUCUGACUGACUAGUGGUGCUUCUUCUGUGUCUCUGUCACUGUAUUGCUCAUCUCUACAGAAACCUCCCGAGUCCUGAACCUUCGUCCCCUCCUAGCCUCAAGAGAUUCAGGGACAGAUCACCAGUCCUGUCCUCUGGGAGCCUUGAGCCUUUUGAAGGAGGCAGACAUACCCUAAGGACGUACACAGAGACAGGGACCAAAUUCAGAGUAGCUGGACAGAGCUCUGGCUCCUGGUGCUUUUGUGUGUGUUCUGUGGGACUGAGGGUGCGGGUACUGGUGCAUGUAGAGGGUAAGUGGUCAGGGAGGGCUUCUCAAAGGAGAGGGUAACCCACAUCUGGCUGGAAGAGUCCUCUCUAGGUCAUCUUCUUCAUUCCCUUACUUCUGAGCCCUUCUUCAUGGUUUUGGAUGUGGGGAUGGAGUGGGGUGUUUGGAAGGUAGGAGGGAAGCUUUCUUUCAUUUUCUUUGAAAUCUCCAGGGAAAUAAUAAUAAUUAUAGCUAUUCUUUAGAGAGCAUUUACUAAAUGCCUUGUACUUAUCUCAUUAAUUUCCAGGUAGGUGGUAUUAUCUUCAUUCUGCAAUUAAGUAUCUGAGGCACAGAGAGGCAUGUGACUUGCCCAAGGUUGCACAGCCAGCAGGUGGUAGAGGCAGGAGAUGAGCCAGGUUCACCUAACUAGGUCCUGUGCUCUCUCCCUAUGCCACGCUGCCUUCUAAAGAAAGUUGUUGAUCUUGGUCCGUAGUCACCACCAUUCCUGUGGAUCCUUAAUAUAUCUCCAUUUCCCCCAACCCCCCGCAGAUUCCCACUGUGUUUUUGAUGAGUUUCCUGGAUGCCUUGGAGACAGGCUAUGGGAAGUACAAGAAUCCUUACCACAACCAGAUCCACGCAGCCGAUGUUACCCAGACAGUCCAUUGCUUCUUGCUCCGCACAGGGAUGGUGCACUGCCUGUCGGAGAUUGAGCUCCUGGCCAUCAUCUUUGCUGCAGCUAUCCAUGAUUAUGAGCACACGGGCACUACCAACAGCUUCCACAUCCAGACCAAGUCAGAAUGUGCCAUCCUGUACAAUGAUCGUUCAGUGCUGGAGAAUCACCACAUCAGCUCUGUUUUCCGAUUGAUGCAGGAUGAUGAGAUGAACAUUUUCAUCAACCUCACCAAGGAUGAGUUUGUAGAACUCCGAGCCCUGGUCAUUGAGAUGGUGUUGGCCACAGACAUGUCCUGCCAUUUCCAGCAAGUGAAGACCAUGAAGACAGCCUUGCAACAGCUGGAGAGGUGGCAUCUGGUGGGGUGUGGCUGGGGCCAGGCCAGAGGGAGGGGUGUAUGAACUGGGGGGUAUACACAAGGGUAGUUGGUGUGCCAGGUCUUUACCUCACUGUAGAGACUCCACUGGCUUCAGGUAUCAGACUGCAUCUCUGUGUAAGAGUGUGUGUGUGUGUGUGUGUGUGUGUGUGUGUCCUUACGUUUACUCACAGCCUUGGCAGCUGAUCCACUGGAGAGUGCUUUGGGCUGGGAAUCUAAGAUGGGGGUUCUCAUCGCAGCUCUGGGACAGGCUUACUCUAGAAUGUUGGAAAAUUCAUUCAACCCUUCUGCCCCAGUUUUAUUACCUCUGAAAUGGUGAAAAUGAUACACCUCCCCCCACAACAGCUUGCCCCUAGUUCCUAGUCUCAUAGGGUUAUUGGGAAAGUCAUAUGAGGUUUAAAAAAAUGCGUAGGACAAAUGCCAUAAUUACAUCUAAUGUUGCUUAGAAGUGAGUGGGAAUGUAUAAAUGUGUGUGAGAGUGGACUGUGUGUGUGUCCUGAAGGUGUGUGUUAAUCUCUGUGUAUGGUGUUUAUGUGUGGGAUGCAGUGUCACAGCGGGUCAUUGUUGAGAGUAUAAUAAUAAUUAUUACUAUUUUAAAUAAUAUCUACUGAGCACUUAUUAUGUGCUGGACACUCUCCUGAAUACUUAUUUGUUGUUUGUCACUUAAUUCUCAGAACCACUCAAUAUGUGGUAGGGUUGUUAUUUCCAUUUCAGAGUUGAAGAAAAUGAAAUAUGGAAAUUUUAAGUAACUUGCUCAGUGUCACACAGCUAACAUGUGGUAGGUAUAGAUGUGAACCCAGGCAGGCCCUUUGAUUCUAAGAGCCUGGGCUCUCAGCUACUAACCUGUGCUGCUACCUAAACACAUAUAAGUGUGUGUGUGUCUGUGUGUAGGGUAUGUGUGUAGCUUUGGAGGGUGUUUGAAGUUAUGUGAAGCCGGGCGUGGUGGCUCAUGCCUAUAAUUCCAGCACUUUGGGAGGCCGAGGCAGGUGGAUAGCUUGAGGUCAGGAAUUUGAGACCAGCCUGGCCAACAUGGUGAAACACUGUCUCUGCCAAAAAAAUACAAAAAUUAGCUGGGUGUGGUGGCAUGCACGCCUGUAGUCCCAGCUAUUCAGGAGGCUGAGGUGGGAGAAUCACUUGAAUCCAGGUGACAGAGGUUGCAGUGAGCUGAGAUUGUGCCACUGCAGCCAGCCCGGGCAACAGAGUGAGACCCUGUCUC
Molecule: small RNA, 4694 nt
Filed under: Pongo abelii (Sumatran orangutan)
Lineage: Eukaryota; Metazoa; Chordata; Mammalia; Primates; Hominidae
Description: retained intron
Source: RNAcentral